UGUUUUUAGCUAGAGUUAAAAACAACCUUCAGGACUAUAAAGUAGGAGUUGCAUUACCUGGAGCUGCUACAGACAACAGAAUUGCAACAGAAAAGCUAUCUUGAUUAGUGGAACGUUAAGACCAGUGAUAAAGAAGAGCUGGUCAUUACCAUGGAGCGCAGGGUUUAGAAGGAAUCGGGUAGAUUACAAGGAGCCAUGAAGUCAAGUGACUCCGUCCACUGCUGCCUAAAUAGAAAUGCUGCUGCCUUUGCAAGUGGUUGGUUUUAAACCUCAGACCUGAAACUAAUAGUUCUGCCCUCCCUCUGCAUCUCCCACAAUAGCAGGCUAAAAGAUCUUGAGGCUUCAUCUUCCUCCAAGAGCAAGACAGUUUCUCUCUCAAUAAACACUUUGAAACUGGGAUGCAAUACAAGUGAACGAUCUACAGGGCUGUUCCUUACUUGGGUCUCCUGUUGCUAGUUGCCCUCGUAAGGGGCAUGAUCAGAAACAGCAAUUCUGCCAGCAGAGGAACCCAUGCAGGAUUAGCCAAGACUCUAGAGAUCAGAAAGAAAUGUAGCACCUGGACAUAUGCACUAGGGAAAAUUAUGAAUAGUCUCUCUAUCCAUUAGAUGUACAAACCAGAUUAUCUCCUGGUCCCUGAUCUCCAAAGAGCAAUUCCAGCACUAUUCUAGCACUGGCUGGCUCAUGCCCUUGAGGGCCGGAUUUAUGAUUUAUCAUUGUUAAAUAUGUGUACGGUACCUAGCGCAUUGGUAGGUGAGUGCUGCUUAGUCUGAAAAUGAAAGGCUCGAACAUCUGUUUACUACUGCCUGAGCGAUUCAGCAAUUCUCCUGAAGAGAAUAUAUUGCCUCUAUUUAUAAUUUAGAAAGGGAAACAACAGCAAUCUGAAAUCUAGUCCAUUGAAAAAAAAUGGGCUUACCACCCCUGAGUUCCUCUGACAAUUCCUUUUGUGUUACAACCAUAUUUACCUGUUAUUGCUUUUCUCUCUCCUGUUGCUGUUUGAAAGAUCCACACAAACAAGUAGGGGAAACCGAAACCGAUGAUGCAUCAUGUACUCAAAAUAAUAUAUACACAGAAAUAUAUAAUCUCUUUACAUUAACAUUCUUAUACUCUGC
This is a long non-coding RNA of Gavialis gangeticus (Gharial), 1109 nucleotides long. RefSeq lists it as uncharacterized. The transcript is spliced from 2 exons. The record is from RefSeq and is a predicted model, not a curated record. NCBI's taxonomy places the organism in Eukaryota, Metazoa, Chordata, Crocodylia, Gavialidae.